CUACGUGCCAGCAGCCGCGGUAAUACGGAAGGUCCGGGCGUUAUCCGGAUUUAUUGGGUUUAAAGGGAGCGUAGGCCGGAGAUUAAGUGUGUUGUGAAAUGUAGACGCUCAACGUCUGACUUGCAGCGCAUACUGGUUUCCUUGAGUACGCACAACGUUGGCGGAAUUCGUCGUGUAGCGGUGAAAUGCUUAGAUAUGACGAAGAACUCCGAUUGCGAAGGCAGCUGACGGGAGCGCAACUGACGCUUAAGCUCGAAGGUGCGGGUAUCAAACAGGAUUAGAUACCCUGGUAGUCCGCACAGUAAACGAUGGAUGCCCGCUGUUGGUACCUGGUAUCAGCGGCUAAGCGAAAGCAUUAAGCAUCCCACCUGGGGAGUACGACCGCAAGGUUGAAACUCAAAGGAAUUGACGGGGGCCCGCACAAGCGGUGGAGCAUGUGGUUUAAUUCGAUGCAACGCGAAGAACCUUACCUACUCUUGACAUCCAGA
RNAcentral lists this ribosomal RNA (488 nucleotides) under uncultured bacterium. RNAcentral describes it as "bacterial SSU rRNA". It matches the Rfam family "Bacterial small subunit ribosomal RNA", at positions 501 to 992 of the family's 1533-position model. The record is from RNAcentral.